Molecule: transfer RNA, 71 nt
Filed under: Loxodonta africana (African savanna elephant)
Lineage: Eukaryota; Metazoa; Chordata; Mammalia; Proboscidea; Elephantidae
Rfam family: tRNA
About the family: Transfer RNA (tRNA) molecules are approximately 80 nucleotides in length. Their secondary structure includes four short double-helical elements and three loops (D, anti-codon, and T loops). Further hydrogen bonds mediate the characteristic L-shaped molecular structure. tRNAs have two regions of fundamental functional importance: the anti-codon, which is responsible for specific mRNA codon recognition, and the 3' end, to which the tRNAs corresponding amino acid is attached (by aminoacyl-tRNA synthetases). tRNAs cope with the degeneracy of the genetic code in two manners: having more than one tRNA (with a specific anti-codon) for a particular amino acid; and 'wobble' base-pairing, i.e. permitting non-standard base-pairing at the 3rd anti-codon position.
Source: Rfam by way of RNAcentral
GUAGUGGUGGUUCAGUGGUAGAAUUCUCACCUUCCAUGCGGGAGACCUGGGUUCAAUUCCUGGCCAAUACA